Molecule: ribosomal RNA, 493 nt
Filed under: uncultured bacterium
Lineage: Bacteria
Description: partial 16S ribosomal RNA
Rfam family: Bacterial small subunit ribosomal RNA
Source: RNAcentral
UGGGGAAUUUUGGACAAUGGGCGAAAGCCUGAUCCAGCAAUGCCGCGUGUGUGAAGAAGGCCUUCGGGUUGUAAAGCACUUUUGUCCGGAAAGAAAUCCUUGGCUCUAAUACAGUCGGGGGAUGACGGUACCGGAAGAAUAAGCACCGGCUAACUACGUGCCAGCAGCCGCGGUAAUACGUAGGGUGCAAGCGUUAUCGGAAUUACUGGGCGUAAAGCGUGCGCAGGCGGUUUGCUAAGACCGAUGUGAAAUCCCCCGGGGCUAACCUGGGAACUGCAUUGGUGACUGGCAGGCUAGAGUAUGGCAGAGGGGGGUAGAAUUCCACGUGUAGCAGUGAAAUGCGUAGAGAUGUGGAGGAAUACCGAUGGCGAAGGCAGCCCCCUGGGCCAAUACUGACGCUCAUGCACGAAAGCGUGGGGAGCAAAACAGGAUUAGAUACCCUGGUAGUCCACGCCCUAAAACGAUGUCAACUAGUUGUUGGGGAUUCAUUUCC